UGGGGAAUAUUGCACAAUGGGCGCAAGCCUGAUGCAGCCAUGCCGCGUGUAUGAAGAAGGCCUUCGGGUUUUAAAGUACUUUCAGUCGGGAGGAAGGUGGUAAGGUUAAUAACCUUACCAAUUGACGUUACCGACAGAAGAAGCACCGGCUAACUCCGUGCCAGCAGCCGCGGUAAUACGGAGGGUGCAAGCGUUAAUCGGAAUUACUGGGCGUAAAGUGCACGCAGGCGGUUGAUUGAGUCAGAUGUGAAAUCCCCGGGCUUAACCCGGGAAUUGCAUCUGAUACUGGUCAGCUAGAGUCUUGUAGAGGGGGGUAGAAUUCCAUGUGUAGCGGUGAAAUGCGUAGAGAUGUGGAGGAAUACCGGUGGCGGAAGCGGCCCCCUGGACAAAGACUGACGCUCAGGUGCGGAAGCGUGGGGGGCAAACAGG
This 429-nucleotide ribosomal RNA is filed under the name Chloroflexota bacterium. RNAcentral's name for it is "Chloroflexi bacterium partial 16S ribosomal RNA". It matches the Rfam family "Bacterial small subunit ribosomal RNA", at positions 355 to 776 of the family's 1533-position model. The record is from RNAcentral. Lineage: Bacteria; Bacillati; Chloroflexota.